GACGAACGCUGGCGGCGUGCUUAACACAUGCAAGUCGAACGGUGACGGGGUCUGCUUUUGUGUGCCCUGGGUGAGUGGCGAACGGGUGAGUAACACGUGAGUAACCUGCCCCCUUCUUCUGGAUACCCGCAUGAAAGUGUGGCUAAUACGGGAUAUUCUGGGUCUGUCGCAUGAUGGGUCUGGGAAAGAUUGCGCCUUUGGGCGUUUUUGGUGGGGGUUGGGCUCGCGGCCUAUCAGCUUGUUGGUGGGGUGAUGGCCUUCCAAGGCGGUGACGGGUAGCCGGCCUGAGAGGGUGGACGGUCACACUGGGACUGAGACACGGCCCAGACUCCUACGGGAGGCAGCAGUGGGGAAUAUUGCGCAAUGGGCGCAAGCCUGAUGCAGCGACGCCGCGUGAGGGAUGGAGGCCUUCGGGUUGUAAACCUCUUUCGCCAGUGAAGCAGGCCUGCUCCUUGUGGGUGGGUUGACGGUAGCUGGAGAAGAAGCGCCGGCUAACUACGUG
RNAcentral lists this ribosomal RNA (502 nucleotides) under uncultured bacterium. Its description in RNAcentral is "partial 16S ribosomal RNA". It matches the Rfam family "Bacterial small subunit ribosomal RNA", at positions 28 to 507 of the family's 1533-position model. The record is from RNAcentral.